UAUUGGACAAUGGGCGAAAGCCUGAUCCAGCAAUGCCGCGUGAGUGAUGAAGGCCUUAGGGUUGUAAAGCUCUUUUACCCGGGAUGAUAAUGACAGUACCGGGAGAAUAAGCUCCGGCUAACACCGUGCCAGCAGCCGCGGUAAUACGGAGGGAGCUAGCGUUGUUCGGAAUUACUGGGCGUAAAGCGCACGUAGGCGGCUUUGUAAGUUAGAGGUGAAAGCCCGGAGCUCAACUCCAGAAUUGCCUUUGAUACUGCAUCGCUUGAAUCCAGGAGAGGUGAGUGGAAUUCCGAGUGUAGAGGUGAAAUUCGUAGAUAUUCGGAAGAACACCAGUGGCGAAGGCGGCUCACUGGACUGGUAUUGACGCUGAGGUGCGAAG
Molecule: ribosomal RNA, 379 nt
Filed under: uncultured bacterium
Lineage: Bacteria
Description: bacterial SSU rRNA
Rfam family: Bacterial small subunit ribosomal RNA
Source: RNAcentral